This 460-nucleotide ribosomal RNA is filed under the name uncultured bacterium. RNAcentral's name for it is "partial 16S ribosomal RNA". It matches the Rfam family "Bacterial small subunit ribosomal RNA", at positions 338 to 795 of the family's 1533-position model. The record is from RNAcentral.
CCUACGGGUGCGCAGCAGUGAGGAACAUUGGUCAAUGGGCGGAAGCCUGAACCAGCCAAGUAGCGUGCGGGAUGAAGGCCCUACGGGUCGUAAACCGCUUUUGCACGGGGAUAACACCCUCCACUUGUGGAGGUCUGCAGGUACCGUGCGAAUAAGGGCCGGCUAAUUCCGUGCCAGCAGCCGCGGUAAUACGGAAGGCCCGAGCGUUAUCCGGAUUCAUUGGGCUUAAAGGGAGCGUAGGCGGGCGUUCAAGUCAGCUGUAAAAUCGCGCGGCUCAACCGCGCCCCGCAGUUGAAACUGACACCCUUGAGUGAGUGAGAAGUAAGCGGAAUGCGUGGUGUAGCGGUGAAAUGCAUAGAUAUCACGCAGAACGCCGAUUGCGAAGGCAGCUUACCGGCGCUCAACUGACGCUGAGGCACGAAAGUGCGGGUAUCGAACAGGAUUAGAUACCCGGGUAGUC